UUUACUAAACAAGGGAAUCAUAAUCGUGCGUAAAACACAGGAAAAAAAACAACAAUUUCUAAUUAGCAACUCACAUGAAAAGAGUUGCCUAAAGAUUGAAAGAAUAAGACCCACACACUGCAUUGCAACACUUACAUGUUUUUAUCUAAAUAAAAAAUUACAUGCAAAUGUAUUGGCCGAUUAUUUUCAACACCUAGAUAUAAUCAAGCUGAGAAAUUUAGAUGUAUUCUACACAACGAUCAUAAUAAAAGAGUUAUAACUUGACUUAAACAUAUUGGUCUACCUUAGUCUUAACAUCUAAAAUUCAAAUCAAUGUCAAAUACAAAAAAGAAUAUAUAAGAGGGGAAUUUUAUUACCUAUGAUAUAUUCUUGAAAAGUUUUGAGAAAAAAAUAUGAUACAAAGAACAUAAGGUGCCUCAUUUUAUAAUAACUAAAAUUUAAAAAAUUGUAUAACAUUCUAGUAUAAUAUCCAAACUUGCACAAACUAGACUUUUGCUAGUGGUACAUCACUUUUUAUAAUUUUAAUGCCAUGAUAAAAAGGCAAACAAGAUACUCCAGACCUAAAACCAUUUUGUCCUGCUAUGUGAGACAGCCUCGCAUAACCAACCCAAACCCCAAUGCUAGACAAAAGCGACACACCAAUUUGCUACGCCAUGCAGUAACCCAAAGUGAAGCAAAAACUCCUAGAUCAUGCACAAGACCUGAGACCAUGAUCAAUCACCAUAUUGAUUAGUAAUUACUAUACUUUUUAUAUAUGUUAUAUAAAAAUACAAGUGACUGUAAUAUAGUGCGAUGAAAAAGAGAAAUAUACUAAAAUUGAGUUGGACAAGGUAAUUCCGACCUAAAACCGCUUUCUCCUGCUAUGUGUGACAACCCUGCAAAAUCAGCUCAAACCCCUACACUAAACAACAACGACACAACAACUUGCUAUGCCAGAGCCACCCAAAAUGGAGCCAAAACUCCUAGAAAACCAGACCUGAGACCAUGAUCAAUCACCAUAUCGAUUAGUAAUUAUUGUACUUAUUCUAUAUGAUGUACAUAAAUAGAGGUGAUUGUAAUAUAUUUUUGUCUUAAAUCAACCUAACUGGAGUUCAUUAAAACUUUAGCUCAAUCAAUUGAUUAAUAAUAUGUCAUGGAAGAAUUCAAUUACAUUAGAAGAAAUAAUAAAUUACAUACUCGUUGAUUAACUUAUUAUAAAAGAUAUUUUGAAUCAAUCAUCAUCCAGUUUUAUUAUUAAUAAUUAACUUUGUAAUAGAGAGAGAGAUAUAAACAAUAAACAAUAAUACUUAUCAAUCAUAACAGGACUAAGAUCAUAAAAUUAAUUUAUUCCUAAACAAUUUAUUCAAUACCUAUCAGGGGGGAUUAGAAAAAAGUGAUGAAUUAGAACUCUACAAUAAUAGUUAUCAAACUAUAAUAUUACUAUUGAUUGCAUGAUGUAUACAUAAUUUAUCAGCAGAAGCUUAUCUAUAGCCAAUUUAGAUUUAUGGAUAGUGAGAUAUAGAUCCAAUUAGCAAGUCAUCCAACAACAUCUCAUAUAUGCAUUAAGUCAUUAGCCAAUAAUAGUUUUAAAAAGUAGGUUCCAUAAGUGCAUAUGUGCAUAUGAAGAUGAUACAAAUAUCUUAUAGGUAGUAGCAUAAGUCCAUAACUAAAUAUCUUGUUUAGCAUAAGUAAAACAGAGGAAUAAAUAUAGUUCCAAAACAUAGAAUGAAAAUUAUGAGUUUUAAAGAAAUGAGUAUCAUAAAUGAAUGAAGUAAAAGAUUAGAACAAUGUAAGAAAUAAGAUUUGUUCUUUUUGUCAAACCAGGAGUUCAUGCUACAUAGUAAUGUUAUCAAACCAAGCUGAAGCCAAAGGUGCUUUCACCAUAUAUAUGUGGGUACGUUUUUUGCAUUUCUAAUUGUUUUGGAUUCUAACUUAUUUUUGUGUAUAUGGUUCUAUCCAUUUUUGCAAUUAUUCACAUCCAUACAUUUUUUAAAUGCAAUUCACAUCUAUACGGUUAAGUUAGUUGUUGGUUACAUAAUUUAUGGUAUACAAGCAUAUUAGAGUUCAGGAAACUGUUUCUCUCACAAGAUAAUCAAAUUAUGCAUAUUCUUCUACGUAAAACUCCUUAUCUAUUUGUCCUAUAUAUUCAACCCUGUAUAGGACAACAACCUAGCCCUCUUUCAAAAACAAACAUAUGAAAAAAAUUAAUAAAUAGAGAUCCUUAAUAUUUAAAUUCCAAAACCAAAGAAGAUGAAUUCACUUACAAACUUGAUAGAGAGAGAAAAUCAACUGAGCAAGAGUGUCUUCCCGCAAGUGAGAGAUCCCUGAGCGAUUUCGCAACCGAAAGAGGGGUAGAGAGAAAUAUUGAGAGAGGAAUGGUAUGGUGUUUGAUUGAUUACUAUGUGUGUGUGAGAGAGAGACAAUCUAGUGUUCUAGAGAGAGGGUUGAACGAUGGCACCAUAGAUUUUUAGAGAAGCUACGGUAUCCAUGAAAUAGGUUUUGAGAGAUCUGAUUUCUAUAUUUUGGAAAAGUGACGCGUAUGUCAUUUGGGUAGACUUAGUAUAUCUUGUCCUGAAAAAGUUUUUUUUUUAUUGUUAAAAAGAAUAAUACAUGUGUUACAGCUUAAAAAUAUU
RNAcentral lists this long non-coding RNA (2612 nucleotides) under Lathyrus oleraceus (garden pea). RNAcentral describes it as "Pisum sativum (pea) long non-coding RNA (PSAT_LNC035720)". Lineage: Eukaryota; Viridiplantae; Streptophyta; Magnoliopsida; Fabales; Fabaceae. The record is from RNAcentral.